AUUACCGCGGCUGCUGGCACGUAGUUAGCCGGGGCUUCUUCUGAAGGUACCGUCACUCCGAACGUCUAUUCAACGCCGAAGCCUCGUCCCAACUGAAAGGAGUUUACAAUCCGAAGACCUUCUUCCUCCACGCGGCGUUGCUGCGUCACGCUUUCGCGCAUUGCGCAAGAUUCCCUACUGCUGCCUCCCGUAGG
This 194-nucleotide ribosomal RNA is filed under the name uncultured actinomycete GT18-1. Its description in RNAcentral is "partial 16S ribosomal RNA". Lineage: Bacteria; Bacillati; Actinomycetota; Actinomycetes; Actinomycetales. The record is from RNAcentral.